Molecule: ribosomal RNA, 455 nt
Filed under: uncultured bacterium
Lineage: Bacteria
Description: bacterial SSU rRNA
Rfam family: Bacterial small subunit ribosomal RNA
Source: RNAcentral
AUUGAACGCUGGCGGCAUGCCUUACACAUGCAAGUCGAACGGCAGCACGGGAGCAAUCCUGGUGGCGAGUGGCGAACGGGUGAGUAAUAUAUCGGAACGUACCUUUCAGUGGGGGAUAACGUAGCGAAAGUUACGCUAAUACCGCAUAUUCUGUGAGCAGGAAAGCAGGGGAUCUUAGGACCUUGCGCUGAUUGAGCGGCCGAUAUCAGAUUAGCUAGUUGGUGAGGUAAAGGCUCACCAAGGCGACGAUCUGUAGCGGGUCUGAGAGGAUGAUCCGCCACACUGGAACUGAGACACGGUCCAGACUCCUACGGGAGGCAGCAGUGGGGAAUUUUGGACAAUGGGGGCAACCCUGAUCCAGCCAUGCCGCGUGAGUGAAGAAGGCCUCGGUUGUAAGACGUCUUUCUACGCCGGAAGGAAACGACAUGGUAGUACCUACGUGUGGUAGUGACGGU